This 687-nucleotide long non-coding RNA is filed under the name Homo sapiens (human). RNAcentral's name for it is "non-protein coding lnc-EGFL6-9:1". Lineage: Eukaryota; Metazoa; Chordata; Mammalia; Primates; Hominidae. The record is from RNAcentral.
GGUAGAGUAACCUUGUGUUUGGCAUAUGUGUCAUUGGGAAAAAAUAAUUAGUGAUUCCCAAUGCCAGUAAGCAUGAGAUUUUACUGUUUGCUUAUUCAGAGGUAAGGCUUUGUUUGUUUGUUUUUUGCAAAUUUCACACUCCACGCAAUAGACAGAUAUGCCAAUGCCCAGGUAGUUGAUCAUAUUGUCUGUCACCCAGAUGUGGACUGUGGUGUUUCUGCAGGUAUCCCUUGUAGACUGUAGCCUCAGAGUUCUUCUGUUAUCCAGGUAGCCUUGAUGAGUCGUGAAAUGAUGCCAGUGAACAAGAGUAUUUGUGAUUGUCCUUGUAGCAUAGGUUGUGGACCAAGCAGUUUCCAUAAUAUGUCUUUCAGAUGUGUGUCAGGGCAUCACAGCAGGCCUUUCAAUCCUAGGUAAUGUGGGACAUUGCUGGGUGAGGUAAGUGCCACAGCCUGCAGUGUGGGACUGUUACAGAGACCUAGUUCUGUGAUGAUGUGUCCCUACAUGUCUUCCCAUCGUGAUUUCUUUCCCAGGUAUUUGGGAGAGAAAUGAUUGAGUCCUUACCAAUCCCAGGAUUUCUCCUGGUGUCCAGUCAAGAAAUAAUGGAUUUCUGCAUAGAUUUUGACCGUGUAUCACUGAAGUUGUGCAGAUAUUCCGAUAAGAAAUGUAGAGUCCUGGCUGAGCGCAGUG